Molecule: ribosomal RNA, 579 nt
Filed under: Plasmodium falciparum (malaria parasite P. falciparum)
Lineage: Eukaryota; Apicomplexa; Aconoidasida; Haemosporida; Plasmodiidae
Description: partial 18S ribosomal RNA
Rfam family: Eukaryotic small subunit ribosomal RNA
Source: RNAcentral
CAAUUGGAGGGCAAGUCUAGGUGCCAGCAGCCGCGGUAAUUCCAGCUCCAAUAGCAUAUAUUAAAAUUGUUGCAGUUAAAACGUUCGUAGUUGAAUAUUAAAGAAUCCGAUGUUUCAUUUAAACUAGGUUUGGGAAAACCAAAUAUAUUAUAUAUUUUGCUUUGUUCAAAAUAAGGUUUUCUAAUAAAUUAUGUUUUUAUCAGAUAUGACAGAAUCUUUUUUAAAAUCUCUUCAAUAUGCUUUUAUUGCUUUUGAGAGGUUUUGUUACUUUGAGUAAAAUUAAGUGUUCAUAACAGACGGGUAGUCAUGAUUGAGUUCAUUGUGUUUGAAUACUACAGCAUGGAAUAACAAAUAUGAAUAAGCUAAUUAUUUUUUUUUUUCAUAAUUUUUUUUGAUAUUCUUAUUAGCUUAGUUACGAUUAAUAGGAGUAGCUUUGGGGGCAUUCGUAUUCAGAUGUCAGAGGUGAAAUUCUAAGAUUUUCUGGAGACGGACUACUGCGAAAGCAUUUGCCUAAUCUAUUUCCAUUAAUCAAGAACGAAAGUUAAGGGAGUGAAGACGAUCAGAUACCGUCGUAAUCUU